This 497-nucleotide ribosomal RNA is filed under the name uncultured bacterium. RNAcentral's name for it is "partial 16S ribosomal RNA". It matches the Rfam family "Bacterial small subunit ribosomal RNA", at positions 28 to 507 of the family's 1533-position model. The record is from RNAcentral.
GAUGAACGCUGGCGGCGUGCCUAAUACAUGCAAGUCGAGCGAACGGACGAGAAGCUUGCUUCUCUGAUGUUAGCGGCGGACGGGUGAGUAACACGUGGAUAACCUACCUAUAAGACUGGGAUAACUUCGGGAAACCGGAGCUAAUACCGGAUGAUAUUUUGAACCGCAUGGUUCAAAAGUGAAAGACGGUCUUGCUGUCACUUAUAGAUGGAUCCGCGCUGCAUUAGCUAGUUGGUAAGGUAACGGCUUACCAAGGCAACGAUGCAUAGCCGACCUGAGAGGGGAACCAGCCAGCCUGAGACUGAGAUACGGCCCAGGCUCCGACGGGAGGCAGCGUUGGGGAGUUUUGGAGAAUGGGCGACAGCCUGAUCAAGCAAUGCAGCGUGUGUGAAGAAGUGCUUCGGGUUGUAGACCACUUUUGUCCGGAAAGAAAACCAGGGCCCUAAUAAGGUCGGGGGAAGAAGGUACCGGAAGAAUAAGCCACGGCUAAACACGAG